Molecule: ribosomal RNA, 190 nt
Filed under: Vibrio alginolyticus
Lineage: Bacteria; Pseudomonadati; Pseudomonadota; Gammaproteobacteria; Vibrionales; Vibrionaceae
Also listed under: 2 other names
Description: partial 16S ribosomal RNA
Rfam family: Bacterial small subunit ribosomal RNA
Source: RNAcentral
AAAUUGAAGAGUUUGAUCAUGGCUCAGAUUGAACGCUGGCGGCAGGCCUAACACAUGCAAGUCGAGCGGAAACGAGUUAUCAGAACCUUCGGGGGACGAUAACGGCGUCGAGCGGCGGACGGGUGAGUAAUGCCUAGGAAAUUGCCCUGAUGUGGGGGAUAACCAUUGGAAACGAUGGCUAAUACCGCAU